UGGGGAAUAUUGGACAAUGGGCGAAAGCCUGAUCCAGCAAUGCCGCGUGAGUGAUGAAGGCCUUAGGGUUGUAAAGCUCUUUUACCAGGGAUGAUAAUGACAGUACCUGGAGAAUAAGCUCCGGCUAACUCCGUGCCAGCAGCCGCGGUAAUACGGAGGGAGCUAGCGUUGUUCGGAAUUACUGGGCGUAAAGCGCACGUAGGCGGCUAUUCAAGUCGGGGGUGAAAGCCCGGGGCUCAACCCCGGAACUGCCCUCGAAACUAGGUAGCUUGAAUCUUGGAGAGGCGAGUGGAAUUCCGAGGGUAGAGGUGAAAUUCGUAGAGAUUCGGAAGAACACCAGUGGCGAAGGCGACUCGCUGGACAAGUAUUGACGCUGAGGUGCGAAAGCGUGGGGAGCAAACA
This 402-nucleotide ribosomal RNA is filed under the name uncultured prokaryote. RNAcentral's name for it is "bacterial SSU rRNA". It matches the Rfam family "Bacterial small subunit ribosomal RNA", at positions 355 to 774 of the family's 1533-position model. The record is from RNAcentral.